GGCGGAGGGAAGCUCAUCGGUGGGGCCACGUGCUGAGUGCGAUUAGUCACUCUACUCUGUGUCCCUUGGGAAGGUCUGAGACUAGGGCCAGAAGCGGCCCUAACAGGGCUCUCCCUGAGCUUCGGGGAGGUGAGUUCCCAGAGAACGGGGCUCCGCGCGAGGGCAGACUGGGCAGGAGAUGCUGUGGACCCCACCCUUCGGAGGGGCCUGGCGGAUGCCUCCUUAGCCGGAGCUUGGAACAGACUCACGGCCAGCGAAGUGAGUUCAAUGGCUGAGGUGAGGUACCCUGUACAGGGGCCUCAUAACCCAAUUCAGACUACUCUCCCCCGUC
Molecule: ribozyme, 331 nt
Organism: Camelus dromedarius (Arabian camel)
Lineage: Eukaryota; Metazoa; Chordata; Mammalia; Artiodactyla; Camelidae
Rfam family: Nuclear RNase P
About the family: Ribonuclease P (RNase P) is a ubiquitous endoribonuclease, found in archaea, bacteria and eukarya as well as chloroplasts and mitochondria. Its best characterised activity is the generation of mature 5'-ends of tRNAs by cleaving the 5'-leader elements of precursor-tRNAs.
Source: Ensembl